RNAcentral lists this long non-coding RNA (440 nucleotides) under Pan troglodytes (chimpanzee). Its description in RNAcentral is "long non-coding RNA NONPTRT014645". Lineage: Eukaryota; Metazoa; Chordata; Mammalia; Primates; Hominidae. The record is from RNAcentral.
CACAUCUGCACUUUGGAAAGAAUUACAGUGGUGAUGUGAAGACACAGUUGGAAAGCAGCAAAAGUAGGAGGGAAAGAAAUUGGCAUCUCGAAGUAACUUUAGAAGAACAGAAAUCAACUUGGCUGAAUUUCUUGGUUGAAAUCUGGCCCAGCUCUGGUGUGAUCCUGUGACUGAGUUCUGGCCAAUGGAGUGGGAGCAGAAAACAAUUCAUGCUACUUUCAGCCAUAAGAACUUCCUUUAGAACCUUCAUUUCUCUUCUUCAAGCUGACCUUGGGAGCGAAGUGUUGAAGAUGGCAGAGCCUCUAUCAUUCUAGAUCUUUGAAGGACUCCAUGGAGCACACUCCUAUUUCCUUCAACCCCCUCUUCUAUCACAUUGUGAUGGGGUAUUACAGGAGUGGGAAAUAAGUCUCUCUUCUGGUGUACAGUGGAAUUGUCUACAG